AUGAGCCGCAGUGAAUAGGCCCAGGCGACUGUUUAGCAAAAACACAGGGCUCUGCUAAGUCGGCUUCAAGACGACGUAUAGGGUCUGACGCCUGCCCAGUGCUGGAAGAUUAAAAGGAGGGGUGCAAGCUCUGAAUUGAAGUCCCAGUGAACGGCGGCCGUAACUAUGACGGUCCUAAGGUAGCGAAAUUCCUUGUCGGGUAAG
This 204-nucleotide ribosomal RNA is filed under the name Ochromonas sp. CCMP1393. RNAcentral describes it as "partial Bacterial large subunit ribosomal RNA". It matches the Rfam family "Bacterial large subunit ribosomal RNA", at positions 1772 to 1980 of the family's 2925-position model. The record is from RNAcentral. Lineage: Eukaryota; Chrysophyceae; Chromulinales; Chromulinaceae.